RNAcentral lists this small RNA (31 nucleotides) under Bombyx mori (domestic silkworm). Its description in RNAcentral is "ovarian small RNA-31456". Lineage: Eukaryota; Metazoa; Arthropoda; Insecta; Lepidoptera; Bombycidae. The record is from RNAcentral.
UGACAUGCUGGUGCAACAACCCGGUGGUUGA